Long non-coding RNA from Rattus norvegicus (Norway rat), 1331 nucleotides. RefSeq lists it as uncharacterized. The record is from RefSeq and is a predicted model, not a curated record. Lineage: Eukaryota; Metazoa; Chordata; Mammalia; Rodentia; Muridae.
GGCUGGCCCUAUUUAGCUGCACUCUGGUGAUUUCUUUCUCUAAUUCUAUUGAAAUAAUAAUCAGGGUUUGUUUCUGAUUAAUUAACUAACCUUUUGGUAAAAAGAUUAGAUAACGAAAUUGCUGCCUAUUCAGAGAUAAUGAGAUUUUUAUUACUCUGUCAAAAGGGGGAAAAAAAGUACAUUAUGUGUCACCAGCCGCUGUGUCAAGAGGGGGGUGAGGUGGAGAUUUAAGUCUUUGUCAGAUGUGGAUAUUCCUCACCAGAGGAAGGGUGCGAUUCCAUCUCCAGGAAAUCCCUUGUCUCCUUGGAAGCCAUUAAGGAGGGGUUUUAAAACAGCAAACAGAGUAAUAAACACGGUUAGGCUGAUGGCUUUGGGGGAGGGUGCUAAUAUGUUUUAAAAUGUCUCCUAAUAGAAGAGGACUGCUCUCUAGUGUGGGCAACUUGGUGUUGAGUGUGGGUGUGUUUAUAUGAGCGAGAGAGUGUGAAGAAGGCAGUGAAACCCCCUCAUGCAAGGCUUUACAGUGACAGGGGCAGACAGCCUGCCCGGCCUCCGCUCUCCAGAUCUGUCCUGGGUCUGCAGGGCAUUGUCUUCCGGCAGGAGUGGUUCUUGGGCGAUGGGAAGGGGAAAUCACCGGAGCUCAGCCGGCUGGAGGUCACCUGUGACUGUCACAGGCAACUCAACCAUGAUGACUUCCCGUUUCAACUCUCCAUCUCAUGAUACAAUGCCCAAGGAUGCUCUGGCUAACGGAAGCAAGCUGUGCCCAGGCCAAAUGUGAGAAGCAUUGGCAGGGUCAGUCGAGAUCUGAUAUCUGUGAAGCAGUCCUCUCUGUGAUAUCAGAAAGGAUGGAUUGGCACGUCUGGUCUUUGCUGUAUGUAGGCCUGGCUAUUUGAUUAGAGCAGACCAAGUCAUACUUGCAUUUUGCUAUAGAGUUCAGUCUUGUUUUAUGUUUGUUACAACUAAAUGAUAUCCUAAACGCCUGGGAGAAAUCAGGUCUUUCAUCAAUGUAGUAAUGAGCUGUAAAUGUUCCAAUGUUUUGUGUCUGCGUUGGUACCCUCCUAUUGUUAACUGGCCAGUAUGAUCAAGAUGACAGUACUAUGAAGAUCUUCGCAGCCAGAUGGAAUCCCCUUGCCUUUGUUUACAUCCUCUAUGUGUAGUACCUAAAGGGUCUUUAAAUGGAACUUUCGAGAGCUUGAUUUAUAUGUUGCUGUACCAUUGCUUAAACUCGAAAUGAUUCGAGAGUGAACGGUUUCCUUUUCUUGUUUUUCUAAGUGCCUAGCCUGAGUCUUACAUUUAGAAAGGCUUCAUUAAAUGCUUAUUGAACUAGUUAACUA